RNAcentral lists this non-coding RNA (932 nucleotides) under Siphonognathus argyrophanes (tubemouth). Its description in RNAcentral is "partial 12S ribosomal RNA". It matches the Rfam family "Bacterial small subunit ribosomal RNA". The record is from RNAcentral. Lineage: Eukaryota; Metazoa; Chordata; Actinopteri; Labriformes; Odacidae.
CACAAAGGCUUGGUCCUGACUUUAUUKUCGGCUUUAGCCAAAUUUACACAUGCAAGUCUCCGCUCCCCCGUGAAAAUGCCCUUACAGUCCCCUGCUUGGAGACAAGGAGCUGGUAUCAGGCACGCCCCCCUACGCCCACGACGCCUUGCUAAGCCACACCCCCAAGGGAAUUCAGCAGUGAUAGACAUUAAGCCAUGAGCGCAAGCUCGACUUAGUUAAGGUUAAGUAGGGCCGGUAAAACUCGUGCCAGCCACCGCGGUUAGACGAGAGGCCCAAGUUGACAGAAGACGGCGUAAAGAGUGGUUAUGCCCCCAAACUUAACUAAAGCCAAAUGCCCGCAAAGCUGUUAUACGCAUUCGAGGGCCAGAGGCCCCCUCACGAAAGUCGCUUUAUUAAACUGAACCCACGAAAGCUAUGAAACAAACUGGGAUUAGAGACCCCACUAUGCUUAGCCCUAAACUUCGAUAACUGCCCACAGUUGUUAUACGCCCGGGAACUACGAGCAUAAGCUUAAAACCCAAAAGACUUGGCGGUGCUUUAGACCCACCUAGAGGAGCCUGUUCUAGAACCGAUAACCCCCGUUCAACCUCACCUUUUCUUGUUCAUACCGCCUAUAUACCGCCGUCAUCAGCUUACCCUGUGAAGGACCCAUAGUAAGCACAAUUGGUACAGCCCAAAAUGCCAGGUCGAGGUGUAGCGCAUGUAAAGUGGAAGAAAUGGGCUACAUUUGGUGAAACACCACACUACGAAAGGGAGGCUGAAACGCCUGCCAGAAGGAGGAUUUAGCAGUAAGCAGAAAGCAGCGUGUUCUACUGAAGCCGGCCCUGAAGCGCGUACACACCGCCCGUCACUCUCCCCRAUGGAGCCGAACAUUAUACCUAAAAUAUGAUUAUCUAGAAGGGGAGGCAAGUCGUAACAUGGUAAGUGUACCA